AUUGAACGCUGGCGGCAGGCCUAACACAUGCAAGUCGAGCGGAUGAAGGGAGCUUGCUCCUGGAUUCAGCGGCGGACGGGUGAGUAAUGCCUAGGAAUCUGCCUGGUAGUGGGGGAUAACGUCCUGAAACGGGCGCUAAUACCUCAUACGUCCUGAGGGAGAAAGUGGGGGAUCUUCGGACCUCACGCUAUCAGAUGAGCCUAGGUCUGAUUAGCUAGUUGGUGGGGUAAAGGCCUACCAAGGCGACGAUCCGUAACUGGUCUGAGAGGAUGAUCAGUCACACUGGAACUGAGACACGGUCCAGACUCCUACGGGAGGCAGCAGUGGGGAAUAUUGGACAAUGGGCGAAAGCCUGAUCCAGCCAUGCCGCGUGUGUGAAGAAGGGCUUCGGAUUGUAAAGCACUUUAAGUUGGGAGGAAGGGCAGUAAGUUAAUACCUUGCUGUUUUGACGGUACCAACAGAAUAAGCACCGGCUAACUUCGUG
RNAcentral lists this ribosomal RNA (484 nucleotides) under uncultured bacterium. Its description in RNAcentral is "partial 16S ribosomal RNA". It matches the Rfam family "Bacterial small subunit ribosomal RNA", at positions 30 to 507 of the family's 1533-position model. The record is from RNAcentral.